This 663-nucleotide ribosomal RNA is filed under the name uncultured Actinomycetes bacterium. Its description in RNAcentral is "bacterial SSU rRNA". It matches the Rfam family "Bacterial small subunit ribosomal RNA", at positions 44 to 722 of the family's 1533-position model. The record is from RNAcentral. Lineage: Bacteria; Bacillati; Actinomycetota; Actinomycetes.
GUGCUUAACACAUGCAAGUCGAGCGGAAGGCCCUUUCGGGGGUACUCGAGCGGCGAACGGGUGAGUAACACGUGAGUAAUCUGCCCUGCGCUCUGGGAUAGCCACCGGAAACGGUGAUUAAUACCGGAUAGGACCACUUCACGCAUGUGAUGGUGGUGGAAAGUUUUUUCGGCGCAGGAUGUGCUCGCGGCCUAUCAGCUUGUUGGUGAGGUAACGGCUCACCAAGGCUUUGACGGGUAACCGGCCUGAGAGGGUGACCGGUCACACUGGGACUGAGACACGGCCCAGACUCCUACGGGAGGCAGCAGUGGGGAAUAUUGGACAAUGGGCGGAAGCCUGAUCCAGCAACGCCGCGUGAGGGAUGACGGCCUUCGGGUUGUAAACCUCUUUCAGUACCGACGAAGCGAAAGUGACGGUAGGUACAGAAGAAGGACCGGCCAACUACGUGCCAGCAGCCGCGGUAAUACGUAGGGUCCGAGCGUUGUCCGGAAUUAUUGGGCGUAAAGGGCUCGUAGGCGGUUUGUCGCGUCGGGAGUGAAAACACCGGGCUUAACUCGGUGCUUGCUUUCGAUACGGGCAGACUAGAGGUAUGCAGGGGAGAAUGGAAUUCCUGGUGUAGCGGUGAAAUGCGCAGAUAUCAGGAGGAACACCGGUGGCGAAGGC